RNAcentral lists this ribosomal RNA (253 nucleotides) under uncultured bacterium. RNAcentral describes it as "partial 16S ribosomal RNA". It matches the Rfam family "Bacterial small subunit ribosomal RNA", at positions 524 to 776 of the family's 1533-position model. The record is from RNAcentral.
UACGGGGGGGGCAAGCGUUGUUCGGAAUUACUGGGCGUAAAGGGCUCGUAGGCGGCCAACUAAGUCGGACGUGAAAUCCCUCAGCUUAACUGGGGAACUGCGUCCGAUACUGGAUGGCUUGAGUUUGGGAGAGGGAUGCGGAAUUCCAGGUGUAGCGGUGAAAUGCGUAGAUAUCUGGAGGAACACCGGUGGCGAAGGCGGCAUCCUGGACCGGCAUUGACGCUGAGGCGCGAAAGCUAGGGGAGCAAACGGG